This 253-nucleotide ribosomal RNA is filed under the name uncultured bacterium. RNAcentral describes it as "partial 16S ribosomal RNA". It matches the Rfam family "Bacterial small subunit ribosomal RNA", at positions 524 to 776 of the family's 1533-position model. The record is from RNAcentral.
UACGUAGGGGGCAAGCGUUGUCCGGAGUUACUGGGCGUAAAGCGCACGCAGGCGGUCGCGUAAGAGUGCGGGGACAGUGGGCGGCUUAACUGCCCAAGGGUCGCACAGACUGCGUGACUGGAGGGCCAGAGAGGGACCUGGAAUUCCGGGUGGAGCGGUGAAAUGCGUAGAGAUUAGGAAGAACACCAGUGGCGAAGGCGACUUACUGGACUGUAACUGACGCUGAGGCAUGAAAGCGUGGGGAGCAAACAGG